This 111-nucleotide ribosomal RNA is filed under the name uncultured bacterium. RNAcentral's name for it is "partial 16S ribosomal RNA". It matches the Rfam family "Bacterial small subunit ribosomal RNA", at positions 1373 to 1482 of the family's 1533-position model. The record is from RNAcentral.
CCCGGGUCUUGUACACACCGCCCGUCACACCAUGGGAGCGGGAUGUACCAGAAGUAGGUAGGCUAACCGCAAGGGGGCCGCUUACCACGGUGCGUUUCGGUGACUGGGGUG